This 774-nucleotide ribosomal RNA is filed under the name uncultured Neocallimastigales. Its description in RNAcentral is "partial large subunit ribosomal RNA". It matches the Rfam family "Eukaryotic large subunit ribosomal RNA", at positions 22 to 643 of the family's 3401-position model. The record is from RNAcentral. Lineage: Eukaryota; Fungi; Neocallimastigomycota; Neocallimastigomycetes; Neocallimastigales.
GUACACGCUGUGACUAGCAUAUCAAUAAGCGGAGGAAAAGAAACUAACAAGGAUUCCCCUAGUAACGGCGAGUGAAGCGGGAAGAGCUCAAAUUUGAAAUCUUAAAGGGUUUCCCUUUACGAAUUGUAGUUUAAAGAAGUGUUUUCUGUUGAGGUUUUGGUAAAAGUUCUUUGGAAUAGGACAUCAUAGAGGGUGAGAAUCCCGUAUUUGACCUUUACUUUCAACUUUGUGAUACACUUUCAAAGAGUCGGAUUGUUUGGGAAUGCAGUCCAAAAUGGGUGGUAAAUUUCAUCUAAAGCUAAAUAUUGGCGAGAGACCGAUAGCGAACAAGUACCGUGAGGGAAAGAUGAAAAGAACUUUGAAAAGAGAGUUAAACAGUACGUGAAAUUGUCAAAAGGGAAGCGUUUGACACCAGUGUUGUUUUUCUGAAAAUCAAUUAAAGAACUGUUUAUGCUAAGCUUGUUUAGACUUUAUCAGCUAUCUGUUUAGUUUUGAGCUUUUCUUUAAUGCACUUUUCAGUUAACAAGUCAACAUCAAUUUCUUUUGCUGUAAAAAAGCUUGAGGAAGGUGGCUUGAGAUUCGUCUUAAGUGUUUAUAGCCUCUUGCCUAUGCAGUCGGAGAGAUUGAGGUCUGCAGCGUAGAUCCUUCGGGGCUAAAUGCAUUUGUGCUAAGUUAUAGCAUUUUAUAGACAACUUGUUGACUAUGAUUUGUCUUGUAGCUUACUCGCUUAUGUUAUUUUACCUACGCUUAGGAUGUUGACUGAUAUGUAGUCGU